AAGUCGUAACAAGGUCUCCGUAGGUGAACCUGCGGAGGGAUCAUUACAGAGUUUUUGCCCGCAAGGGUAGAUCUCCCACCCUAUGUUAUAUCAUCUAUGUUGCUUUGGCGGGCCGUCCGGCCUAGGUCAGGCCACCGGCUCCGGCUGGUGAGCGCCCGCCAGAGGACCCAAACCCUAUAUAUUAGUGUCGUCUGAGUACUAUAUAAUAGUUAAAACUUUCAACAACGGAUCUCUUGGUUCUGGCAUCGAUGAAGAACGCAGCGAGAUGCGAUAAGUAAUGUGAAUUGCAGAAUUCAGUGAAUCAUCGAAUCUUUGAACGCACAUUGCGCCCCCUGGUAUUCCGGGGGGCAUGCCUGUUCGAGCGUCAUUACAACCCUCAAGCUAUGCUUGGUAUUAGGCUUCGCCGCUCACCCGGCGGGCCUUAAAAUCAGUGGCGGUGCCGUCGAGGCCCUGAGCGUAGUAAAUUUCCUCGCUAUAGGGACCCGGCGGAUGCUGGCCAUCAACCCCCAACUUUCUAAGUUUGACCACGGAUCAGGUAGGGAUACCCGCUGAACUUAA
This 558-nucleotide ribosomal RNA is filed under the name uncultured fungus. RNAcentral's name for it is "eukaryotic LSU rRNA". The stretch from base 214 to 367 matches the Rfam family "5.8S ribosomal RNA". Lineage: Eukaryota; Fungi. The record is from RNAcentral.